This 547-nucleotide long non-coding RNA is filed under the name Trifolium pratense (red clover). Its description in RNAcentral is "long non-coding RNA (TPRA_LNC014051)". Lineage: Eukaryota; Viridiplantae; Streptophyta; Magnoliopsida; Fabales; Fabaceae. The record is from RNAcentral.
GUUGGUAUUCUCCUCUAUGUUCUUCGAUCUCUGCCUCUCAAAAAUAUGUACAGCGUGAUUUUCCAUUGUUUCACCAAAGAGCUCUAUUUAUACUCCUUCGAAAUUGCUUAGCCGCCUCAGCAACUCUUCAACAUUAAGUCCUCUUGUAUCACCGCCUAAUCAACUUGAUUUUAAGCUUGUCAGACCUUUUCAACUUGCAAUCCCCUGUUGUGUUGUGUUGUGAUGCUACCGCCUCUCUUACUGAGAAGGAAGAGAAAUCAAUUUUGUUUUUUGAUAAGGCUGCACUUUUAAUCACCACUUUUGUCUCUAAUUACCCUUUGAGAAGACACAUCUUACUUUCCUUUAAUUUUCCUUCGUGUGUUUGAUUUCUUUUGGACCUGUAACAUUGUUUUAAUUUCAUNNNNNNNNNNNNNNNNNUCUUUUUAGCUUUUCUUCUCUUUUGUAUAAUAUAGUGCAAAUCAAAUGAGUUAUUUAUAUAAUAAUAAAUAAUUACUCUAAAUUAGCACAAAAAAUAUAUACAUAUAAUACACUAAAUUGGAGUUUAUCA